Long non-coding RNA from Anser brachyrhynchus (Pink-footed goose), 1856 nucleotides. The record is from Ensembl. Lineage: Eukaryota; Metazoa; Chordata; Aves; Anseriformes; Anatidae.
CUGAGGGCUCACACACUAAAUGAGUUUGUAGGAUUUUAGGACCUCUCUCUACCCCAAGCCUGGAGUCAGGAAAUCCCUUAGGGGUUUUGAUUCUGAGUCCUUCUUGUCCCUGCAUACCACAGGCUGAGUACCCGCUGCCAGAACGCCUGUCAGGAAGCAGGCUCCCACAGGUCAGCGGCUCCCUCACUUUUUUUCCUUUGUGGUUCUUAAAGUCCUCCUUUGGGCCAGGCUUUGCAAAGAACGAGGGCUGCAGGCCCCGUCCUGCAGCCUACAGCCGUGGUUGUGCACCGUGCUCCAGAUGGACCAACCCAGUGGACAGAGCAAACGCAAAAGGAGAUUUAAAAUACCUGUGGCUUGCAGGAACCCAGAACGUGAAUGGGCUUGGGGACUGCGUGUGCUGAAGAAGGGAGAAGUUUAAUUAUUUGUCUGGAUAUCUUUUUGCUUUUUCUUUGUACGAAAUGCCUCGUGCUCUUUGGUGGUGCCAAGAAACUUCUCCCCAGGUGAGCGGCUUCCAAGGAAGCUGGGGAAAGUGGUUUUGGUGGUGGAGGAGCUGGCUCCAGGGCACAUCAUACCCUGCGGCCAGAGGAGAGGACGUGUUGGGCGAGCACGAUGCUUCAGGAGAAAAGUUAAUUCUGCAGUUCCUCGUGUAUGCAGCAAUUUGAGUCAACACCGAGUAAACGUAUGUUUUCCAUCAGGCUGCCAGGGUGCAAUCAUUUCCAGCCUGCAGGAGCAAUCACUUCGGCAGAACCUCUUUGAAUUAGUGGCAGGAGGAAAGCUCCUCAGUGCCCGCCUGGGUCCCAGGGUGAGGAUGUGCCAUGCAGGGCGCUGGGCUCUGGGGGUCAGCACAGCCAAAUGAAUGAGCGCGGGCCUGGCGAGCGAGAGACAUUUGCAGUGCUGAAUCUUCCCGAAAAUUAUGUUCCUCGGUGUUUGGAAACAUAUGGCUAUGAUUUUCUUCUUGUGCAGUGCGGCUGAACUAUAUUUUGCAUAUAGAUUGGGAUCAAAUGUACUGUGAUAGAAAUCUUUCCUAGUCUUCCAGCUUCUGUGUAUCUGAGCCCCUCAUUUGAUGACACACGAUAAAAACACCUUGCAGACAAGAAGCAGGAAUUUUUAAGCCACAUGUUUUGUUAUUUGUUUUGUGGUGUGAGGUGCAGGGGCAGGGAGCUGAGGCACAGCUGGUGGGAGCAGGUGGGGGAGACCCAAAUGGGUCCUGCAGGUUGUAGGGGCUGCAGCCUUAAUUAAGCUAAUAUGGACUACCUGUGAACUCUUCCAGGGCAUGUGUUAUGUGUUACCCCAUUUCACAGUUUGAAUCCCUACUUACUGGUAUCCCCAAAAUUUCAGAGAUCACAAUACUGGUUUUGUGAGGCCCAUAUGUAUGUUCUCCGCUGAGCCCCACCUGGGGUGACCUCCUUGCACAUGUUAUACCCAUGGCUGUUGUGGACUUGCAAAAUGUUAGGGUCCAGAGGACAAGUAAUGUCUGAUGUGCAAAAAUAUCCCAAAGCUGUUGACUGCUCUGGGGUUGGCCACGUCCAUAACCAUUCCUCUUAAGCCACGGGUCCCUUUCCCUCCCAGCAAAUCUGAUGGAAGCAGUUGUGUCACGGGGUGAAGAAGUGCAUGGAGAAGGGAUCCAUCUGGAAAUGAGCUGGAAAAAAGGUACCAAGUGAUAAAAGUGAUCAGACUUCCCCCAGCCCGACCAGCCUGCUGGUUGGGCCGGGUCUGGGUGAGCAGCCUCCUCCUGUCAGGUCACUUAUCUGCACAAAGUUAUACCGUGCACAUAGCUAGGGGGUAUGAAUAGGAAAUUAUUAGACCUUUUUUCUUUACCAAAAUGUCCUGGGAAAGCUGAGGAAAGGGAUCAUGAA